UCCGAGGGGGGCAAGCGUUGUUCGGAAUUAUUGGGCGUAAAGGGCGCGUAGGCGGCGCCACAAGUCACUUGUGACAACUCUGGGCUCAACUCAGAGCCUGCAAGCGAAACUGUGGUGCUGGAGUAUGGGAGAGGUGCGUGGAAUUCCCGGUGUAGCGGGGAAAUGCGUAGAAAUCGGGAGGAACACCUGUGGCGAAAGCGGCGCACUGGACCAUAACUGACGCUGAGGCGCGAAAGCUAGGGGAGCAAACGGG
Molecule: ribosomal RNA, 253 nt
Filed under: uncultured bacterium
Lineage: Bacteria
Description: partial 16S ribosomal RNA
Rfam family: Bacterial small subunit ribosomal RNA
Source: RNAcentral